GACGAACCGUCCUAACGUUGUUCGGAAUCACUGGGCUUAAAGCGUGUGUAGGCGGGAUGGUAAGUACCUUGUGAAAUCCCACGGCUUAACCGUGGAAUUGCUUGGUAUACUGCCGUUCUUGAGUCAUCUAGGGGCAGCCGGAACAGAUGGUGGAGCGGUGAAAUGCAUAGAUAUCAUCUGGAACGCCAAUGGUGCAGACAGGCUGCUGGGGAUGUACUGACGCUGAGGCACGAAAGCCAGGGGAGCAAACGGG
This 253-nucleotide ribosomal RNA is filed under the name uncultured bacterium. RNAcentral's name for it is "partial 16S ribosomal RNA". It matches the Rfam family "Bacterial small subunit ribosomal RNA", at positions 524 to 776 of the family's 1533-position model. The record is from RNAcentral.